RNAcentral lists this ribosomal RNA (711 nucleotides) under uncultured bacterium. Its description in RNAcentral is "bacterial SSU rRNA". It matches the Rfam family "Bacterial small subunit ribosomal RNA", at positions 94 to 823 of the family's 1533-position model. The record is from RNAcentral.
AGUGGCGGACGGGUGAGUAACGCGUGGGUAACCAGCCUUAUACAGGGGGAUAACAGUUGGAAACGACUGCUAAUACCGCAUAAGCGCACAGUGCCGCAUGGCACAGUGUGAAAAACUCCGGUGGUAUAAGAUGGACCCGCGUCUGAUUAGCUAGUUGGUGAGGUAACGGCUCACCAAGGCGACGAUCAGUAGCCGGCUUGAGAGAGUGAUCGGCCACAUUGGGACUGAGACACGGCCCAAACUCCUACGGGAGGCAGCAGUGGGGAAUAUUGCACAAUGGGGGAAAUCCUGAUGCAGCAACGCCGCGUGAGUGAAGAAGUAUUUCGGUAUGUAAAGCUCUAUCAGCAGGGAAGAUAAUGACGGUACCUGACUAAGAAGCCCCGGCUAACUACGUGCCAGCAGCCGCGGUAAUACGUAGGGGGCAAGCGUUAUCCGGAUUUACUGGGUGUAAAGGGAGCGUAGGCGGCUUGGCAAGUCUGAUGUGAAAGCCCAGGGCUCAACCCUGGGACUGCAUUGGAAACCGUCAGGCUAGAGUGCAGGAGAGGUAAGUGGAAUUCCUAGUGUAGCGGUGAAAUGCGUAGAUAUUAGGAGGAACACCAGUAGCGAAGGCGGCUUUCUGGACUGUAACUGACACUGAGGCACGAAAGCGUGGGGAGCAAACAGGAUUAGAUACCCUGGUAGUCCACGCCGUAAACGAUGAGUACUAGGUGU